CUAGAUAUAAAUAGACUAAACCUCUACCUGAGCACUACGAAUCAUAAAUUUAAAACUCAAAGAGCUUGGCGGUGCUUUAGACUUUUCAGGGGAACCUGUCCCAUAAUCGACAAUCCACGAAUCAACCUUACUUUUUCUUGCAAUCAGUAUGUAUACCGUCGUCGUCAGGUAACUUUUAAAAAUAAAGAAGUUAGCUAAAAAGCUAUCAGCUUCCACGUCAGAUCAAGGUGCAGCCUAUGGAAAAGAGAGGAUGGGUUACAAUUAUAAAACAUAAUUACGGAUAUUGAUUUUAAUAAUCAUUUGAAGGAGGACUUGAAAGUAAAAUCUAGUAGUUAAAAGCUUUGAAUUAAGCUCUGAAGCG
RNAcentral lists this ribosomal RNA (361 nucleotides) under Afrolittorina knysnaensis. Its description in RNAcentral is "partial 12S ribosomal RNA". It matches the Rfam family "Bacterial small subunit ribosomal RNA", at positions 846 to 1381 of the family's 1533-position model. Lineage: Eukaryota; Metazoa; Mollusca; Gastropoda; Littorinimorpha; Littorinidae. The record is from RNAcentral.